RNAcentral lists this transfer RNA (72 nucleotides) under Micromonas sp. RCC1109 virus MpV1. It matches the Rfam family "tRNA". Rfam says of the family: Transfer RNA (tRNA) molecules are approximately 80 nucleotides in length. Their secondary structure includes four short double-helical elements and three loops (D, anti-codon, and T loops). Further hydrogen bonds mediate the characteristic L-shaped molecular structure. tRNAs have two regions of fundamental functional importance: the anti-codon, which is responsible for specific mRNA codon recognition, and the 3' end, to which the tRNAs corresponding amino acid is attached (by aminoacyl-tRNA synthetases). tRNAs cope with the degeneracy of the genetic code in two manners: having more than one tRNA (with a specific anti-codon) for a particular amino acid; and 'wobble' base-pairing, i.e. permitting non-standard base-pairing at the 3rd anti-codon position. RNAcentral also lists the same sequence under 1 other name. The record is from Rfam by way of RNAcentral. Lineage: Varidnaviria; Bamfordvirae; Nucleocytoviricota; Megaviricetes; Algavirales; Phycodnaviridae.
GCUCUCAUAGUGUAGUGGUCAACACUGUGGACUUUGAAUCCACCACCCUAGGUUCGACUCCUAGUGGGAGCU